This 515-nucleotide ribosomal RNA is filed under the name uncultured bacterium. RNAcentral's name for it is "partial 16S ribosomal RNA". It matches the Rfam family "Bacterial small subunit ribosomal RNA", at positions 28 to 523 of the family's 1533-position model. The record is from RNAcentral.
GAUGAACGCUGGCGGCGUGCCUAAUACAUGCAAGUCGAGCGAAUGGAUUAAGAGCUUGCUCUUAUGAAGUUAGCGGCGGACGGGUGAGUAACACGUGGGUAACCUGCCCAUAAGACUGGGAUAACUCCGGGAAACCGGGGCUAAUACCGGAUAACAUUUUGAACCGCAUGGUUCGAAAUUGAAAGGCGGCUUCGGCUGUCACUUAUGGAUGGACCUGCGUCGCAUAAGCUAGUUGGUGAGGUAACGGCUCACCAAGGCAACGAUGCGUAGCCGACCGGAGAGGGUGAUCGGCCACACUGGGACUGAGACACGGCCCAGACUCCUACGGGAGGCAGCAGUAGGGAAUCUUCCGCAAUGGACGAAAGUCUGACGGAGCAACGCCGCGUGAGUGAUGAAGGCUUUCGGGUCGUAAAACUCUGUUGUUAGGGAAGAACAAGUGCUAGUUGAAUAAGCUGGCACCUUGACGGUACCUAACCAGAAAGCCACGGCUAACUACGUGCCAGCAGCCGCCGUAA